RNAcentral lists this ribosomal RNA (468 nucleotides) under uncultured bacterium. Its description in RNAcentral is "partial 16S ribosomal RNA". It matches the Rfam family "Bacterial small subunit ribosomal RNA", at positions 28 to 507 of the family's 1533-position model. The record is from RNAcentral.
GGCGAACGCUGGCGGCGUGCUUAACACAUGCAAGUCGAACGGAAAGGCCCUGCUUUUGUGGGGUGCUCGAGUGGCGAACGGGUGAGUAACACGUGAGUAACCUGCCCUUGACUUUGGGAUAACUUCAGGAAACUGGGGCUAAUACCGGAUAGGAGCUCCUGCUGCAUGGUGGGGGUUGGAAAGUUUCGGCGGUUGGGGAUGGACUCGCGGCUUAUCAGCUUGUUGGUGGGGUAGUGGCUUACCAAGGCUUUGACGGGUAGCCGGCCUGCGAGGGUGACCGGCCACAUUGGGACUGAGAUACGGCCCAGACUCCUACGGGAGGCAGCAGUGGGGAAUAUUGCACAAUGGGCGGAAGCCUGAUGCAGCAACGCCGCGUGCGGGAUGACGGCCUUCGGGUUGUAAACCGCUUUCGCCUGUGACGAAGCGUGAGUGACGGUAAUGGGUAAAGAAGCACCGGCUAACUACGUG